GACGAGGGGGGCUAGUGUUAUUCUGCAUGAUUGGGCGUAAAGGGCAUGUAGGCUGCAAUUUAAGUUUAAAGUCAAAACCCAACGUCUAACGUUGGUUAAUGGCUUUAAAUACUGAAUCUGCUUUGAGUUAUAUUAAGGAUUGUAGAAUUUCUGGAGGAGUAUGGAAGUAUCAAUCUCAGAAGGAAUACCAAGGGCGAAGGCAAUAAUCUAGAUAUAAACUGACGUUGAGAAUGCGAAGGUAUGGGGAGCAAACAGG
Molecule: ribosomal RNA, 256 nt
Filed under: uncultured bacterium
Lineage: Bacteria
Description: partial 16S ribosomal RNA
Rfam family: Bacterial small subunit ribosomal RNA
Source: RNAcentral